AAAUUCUUUGCUUACCGCGAAACUUUUUCGCAUCGGUUGCUUUCGGAUGUAAUAAAUGCGGAUCCGAUUCAGAGGAAAAAUUAACUGGAUGAAUUUGUUUAUUGCAAGUUUUGUGGGCGUAAUUGCCUCUACAUAUAUCACGUACCCUCUAAUGGUUCAGCAUCGAGAUGAAAAGAAGAAAAAUUUGGUUACGGGCUCCUAAAAAUAGAUACUUUUUAUAUGACUUUGAUCUUGAAGGUAUGACUGCACUCAAUUUAGAACGCAAGCUGAUGAUAUUCAGGUAUUGAAGAAUUGUAAUAUCACUACUUAUGCUUUCCUGCUGUAAAGAAAUCAUUAAAAAGAAUUUUCUGUGACAAAUUUUAGUUAUUAAGGUACACUCAAUGAACAAAGUAUAUUUUCUAUAUUUGCAUAUAUAAAUAGCCACAUGUGAAUAAUAUUUAUCUUUAUUGUAUGGAUGAAUAGUGAUAAGCUGCUUUAUUUUGAAAAGAAAAUAAAUUAUGAUAAAAAUAAAUUUCUGGUACAACUUCAUUCUAGUUAAGUUGUAAUAUAUUUAUUAUGUUUUUCAUCUGCUGUUCUAGGUCAAAAGAGUUUUUAGUUCCUCCUUUCUUUCCAUUUUUAAUAUAAUACAAGCUUUUUGUAGUAAUCUUUGGUACUUACGUAUUAUCGCAACCAGGUUGGCGUGAUUUGUAAGUUUGAGUAAAAAAGUAUGAAUAGAAAGAAAAUGGUACAUUUAUUAAUUACAGAUAAUUUUAAUACAGUUUUUUAUAUUAUUUUGUUUUAAAAUAUAAAAUAGCAAUUAAACCCGAAAAUGUAUUGCCGGACAAAAUAUCUUAGACAAUCAAAUAUUUUAAAAGAAAUGUUAUUUAAUUGACAAAUACUUUUCUGUUGUUGAGGCAGGAUUAAAAAAUGCAUACAUGCAUUUCUGAAUCUAGUUCCAAUAACACAAAAGUACCAAUUGACAUAAGAUAUAUAAUAUAAUUAUUUUUUUAAUUUGGUAAGCAUGUUAUAUAGUAUUGCUAAUCAAUAAGCUUUUGUGCACAUUUGGACAUAAAAAUUGUAAUUGAAUAAAAAUCGAUUGUAAAAAAAA
This 1087-nucleotide long non-coding RNA is filed under the name Stegodyphus dumicola. RNAcentral describes it as "uncharacterized LOC118196631, transcript variant X1". The record is from RNAcentral. Lineage: Eukaryota; Metazoa; Arthropoda; Arachnida; Araneae; Eresidae.